GGGGUCUGGCUCUCGAGAUUCGAAGAGCGGUGUCUUCAAUUUUUGAGAAAGUAAUCAUGUUGGGAGUCUGGCUCUCGAGAUUCGUAGAGCGGUGCCUCUUCGAUUUUGGAGCAAGCAAUCUUGUUGGGAGUGUUUUCUCGAAUGCGAGUAAAGGUUGGGCAUGUUUGCUAGUCUACCUUGCCACGAAGCACAGAGGUUGACACACAGGGACUUUCCAAUUAUCCAGCAGUGGUACUGUUCCUUUACCCUCUCUUCGAUUUUUGAGAAAGUAAUCAUGUUAGGAGUCUGGCUCUCGAGAUUCGGAGGGCGGUGCCUCUUCGAUUUUGGAGCAAGCAAUCUUGUUAGGGGUGUUUUCUCGAAUGUGAGUAAAGGUUGGGCAUGUUUGCUAGUCUACCUUGCCACGAAGCACAGAGGUUGACACACAGGGACUUUCCAAUUAUCCAGCAGUGGUACUGUUCCUUUACCCUCUCUUCGAUUUUUGAGAAAGUAAUCAUGUUGGGAGUCUGGCUCUCGAGAUUCGGAGGGCGAUACCUCUUCGAUUUUGGGGCAAGCAAUCUUGUUGGGAGUGUUUUCUCGAAUGUGAGUAAAGGUUGGGCAUGUUUGCUAGUCUACCUUGCCACGAAGCACAGAGGUUGACACACCGGGACUUUCCAAUUAUCCAGCAGUGGUACUGUUCCUUUACCCUUGUGGGUAAUAAUAUGGUAGCUAGGCCUUCAAAAUUUAUGUGUCUAAACUUUGUUAGUGUUGUUUCUUUGCUAUUCUUUUACCCUUCUUGGUCAGAGCGAUGUAGUGCAAGCUUCACGUGUCUCAACUUUGUCAGAGAACUUUGGCAAAGUUAUAUGUGGUACCUAUGAGCUACUGUUGCGUGUGGGAAGUGGGUGAUUGAACAGUACGAUUCAUGUGCUUUCUACUUCGCCAGAAAUCUUCGACAUAAUGCCCAUAAUUUCCGCAAAGCUGAGUGUGCGUGUGACAGGUGCUGAGAAGGCUGGAAAAGUAGUCUCAACUUUGUCAGAGAACUUUGGCAAAGUUAUAUGUGGUACCCAUGAGCUACUGUUGCGUGUGGGAAGUGGGUGAUUGAACAGUACGAUUCAUGUGCUUUCUACUUCGCCAGAAAUCUUCGACAGAAUGCCCAUAAUUUCCGCAAAGCUGAGUGUGCGUGUGACAGGUGCUGACAAGGCUGGAAAAGUAGGUGCCUCUUCGAUUUCUGAGAUCGGCCCUCGUGG
Molecule: long non-coding RNA, 1223 nt
Filed under: Malus domestica (apple)
Lineage: Eukaryota; Viridiplantae; Streptophyta; Magnoliopsida; Rosales; Rosaceae
Description: long non-coding RNA (MDOM_LNC002099)
Source: RNAcentral